UGGGGAAUAUUGGACAGUGGGGGAAACCCUGAUCCAGCAAUGCCGCGUGAGUGAAGAAGGCCUUAGGGUUGUAAAGCUCUUUCGCCCGCGAAGAUAAUGACGGUAGCGGGAGAAGAAGCCCCGGCUAACUCCGUGCCAGCAGCCGCGGUAAUACGGAGGGGGCUAGCGUUGUUCGGAAUUACUGGGCGUAAAGCGUACGUAGGCGGAUGCGCAAGUUGGGGGUGAAAUCCCGGGGCUUAACCUCGGAAUUGCCCGCAAAACUGCACGUCUUGAGACCGAGAGAGNUGAGGGGAAUUCCUAGUGUAGAGGUGAAAUUCGUAGAUAUUAGGAAGAACACCAGUGGCGAAGGCGCCUUACUGGCUCGGUACUGACGCUGAGGUACGAAAGCGUGGGGAGCAAACA
This 402-nucleotide ribosomal RNA is filed under the name uncultured bacterium. RNAcentral describes it as "bacterial SSU rRNA". It matches the Rfam family "Bacterial small subunit ribosomal RNA", at positions 355 to 774 of the family's 1533-position model. The record is from RNAcentral.